This 147-nucleotide unclassified non-coding RNA is filed under the name soil metagenome. RNAcentral describes it as "partial internal transcribed spacer 1". The record is from RNAcentral.
CCGAGUUUACAACUCCCAAACCCCUGUGAACAUACCACUUGUUGCCUCGGCGGAUCAGCCCGCUCCCGGUAGAACGGGACGGCCCGCCAGAGGACCCCUAAACUCUGUUUCUAUAUGUAACUUCUGAGUAAAACCAUAAAUAAAUCA